Long non-coding RNA from Rhincodon typus (whale shark), 174 nucleotides. RefSeq lists it as uncharacterized. The transcript is spliced from 3 exons. The record is from RefSeq and is a predicted model, not a curated record. NCBI's taxonomy places the organism in Eukaryota, Metazoa, Chordata, Chondrichthyes, Orectolobiformes, Rhincodontidae.
UUUUUCUGGACUUACAUUGUAGCAAAUGUGGACUCUACUGAGGAACACACAGCCCUUCAAACUAUGCUGACAUUCCUGUGCAGUACUGACAGAAGUCCUUGAAUGCUGGAAGUGCUGUCUUUCAGCAGCAGCGGGAGCAGUGAGAGCGAGGACCAGGGGGCUGCCGGGAAGGUA